RNAcentral lists this unclassified non-coding RNA (979 nucleotides) under Hevea brasiliensis (rubber tree). The record is from RNAcentral. Lineage: Eukaryota; Viridiplantae; Streptophyta; Magnoliopsida; Malpighiales; Euphorbiaceae.
CUUCAACCUAUCGUUCUACAUUGUUUAACAGUCACAGCAGACUACCUAAAAACUUCUCUACAAAUACUCUCUUUUUUUAUCUAAACACUGCUAUAUGCCAGCAUGACUGGCAUAGGAACCAACUAGGACCAACAAACUUGGGAUAACAACUUGCACACCACUGAUUACACAAACCAAUAGAGAUCAAUAACCUCAAAGAAAUUGAAAAUACUUGGAAAUGCAUGGAUUGAACGUAACAACUCCCAAAUUCUUCUUACAAGAGUUAUUGGAUCCAAACAAAGAAGCUAUCUUACUGAUCAUAAGCAGAAAGGAAAUGAAGUUCCAAGCACCCCUUGCAAGGGUUCUUCGAUAACAUAAUUCACAUUGAUUUCGGACUCCAAAACGUUCAGUAGUUGUCUUGGGUUCAAUCCAAAGAAAAAGGCACAAAGUUCACUGCAAGUUUUACUAUUAUCUCCUGGGCCACAUAUACAUCAAACCACUGAAGAGCAUUGAUCCAUGGACAGGAAGGCCACCACUCAACAGUACAAAAUGAUAUGAGAAAUUAUCUUAGCCUUCAUUUGAAAAGAAGGUAAUUAUCAUUUUCUCGUUACCUCUAACUAAUAGUACUGCUAUAAUUAAAAAAAAAAAAUCCUUUUUGACAUUUCACCCACUUUGGCUGGUGUGGGAUCACAACUAGGAAAUAUUGUUUUUUUGUUUAUCUAAGUCUAAGCCUUAGUUUUUUUUAAUAACAUGUAUGAUAAGAAGCUACUUAAGGUUUGAGAAUUGAGAGCAUCAAAUAACAUAUAGCUAUUUCUGGUUAGAUGGAUGAUGGAUCAAUAUAUAGAGGCUGAAUUACCAAUAUUAAACAAAUGAAAGUGAUACUUUAAACUUAUAUCUCUACGUACCAGAAGUGCCUUGUUUCGAUGACUGAGGCAAUCGAAGCAACCUGGUAAUCCUGUUUUGAUGGAUAUCCCCAUCUUGAGGACAAACUUCACUUAGG